UCCCUUCCUCCCUUCCUCCCUUCCUCCCUUCCUCCCUUCCUCCCUUCCUCCCUUCCUCCCUUCCUCCCUUCCUUCCUUCCUCCCCCCCCUCCCUUCCUCCCUUCCUUCCUUCCUUCCUUCCUCCCUUCCUCCCUUCCUCCCUUCCUUCCUUCCUCCCCCCCCUCCCUUCCUCCCUUCCUCCCCCCUCACCCCCUCUCUCCCUGCCUUCCCUCUUUCCUUCCCUCCUCCCUUCCUUCCUCUCUUCCUCUUCCAUCCUUCCUCCCUCCCUCUCUUCUUUCCUCCCUUCCUUCAUUCUUCCCUCCCCUUCUUCCAUUUGUUUUAGUUCCUUCCAUUCAGAGAGCAUUGUCUUAUGACAUUACAGAGGACUUUUGCUUCUUCCUGGGAAACUGAGUUCCACAUUUGCAAGGAGGGGGCUGUGGGCAGCAGAAAGGGAAUACUUUUCAUUUGCUCCUACUGAAACUGUCUUAUGAAUCCCAAAAGUUUUAAGCUAGAUGUCAAUCAAAAGGCAGCAGCUUUAUGCCACUUACAUGCCUUCUGAAAGAGAUCUAUGUUUCUUAUAGUGGGGAAACAAACAAACAAACAACUGCCUGAAAUAGAUUUGGGAAUUUUGAAAUGCUGAAUUUAAUAUGUGAAGUCUGUACUGUUUGUUAGCAUUCAGAAUAAAGCGGUCUGAAAUGUCCUGCUGUCACAGCACAAAAUCAAGAGCACCUCUUCAUCUUCCCUCGGGCCAACAAAAGGGGACAGGAUUUUCAGUGAAACCCAGAUGUUGCUGUGAGUAAAUGUGUGCAUUUAUUAACAGAUAAUAGUGGAGGACUGCAAUUUAUAUCUGCAGAAGCUGAAAUAAUUAAGGAGGGUUGGGUAUUAAUGGAUGUAUGUUUUGAACAAUCUCAAAAACUUCUUUGUGUGGAAAAUUAAGAUCCUUGCUGAUAUUGAAAUAUCUCAGAUUGUUGUAAACCCAUGUUUCUAAUAUUUUAACUGGGAAUCACUUUCAUGGUCCGGCACUGCUGAUGCUGCCCCUUCAGAAGCCAGAAAAUGUCAGAUAUCUCAGUAUUUUCAGGAUUGUUUUGUUCCCAUUCAGGCUGACAGACAAAAAGGAGGGUUCUGAGGGAAGCUCUUAUUUCCUCCCUUCCCAUCUCCCUUUGCUCUUGCAAUAGCACCAUUGUACAGCACCGUUAUGCCAAAUUUUUUACAUAGAGACAGACUCGCCUGUCCCACAUUGUCAUUUCGACACUGUUUUUAACAAAGAUGUAUUUUCUGAGGAUCAUGUUUGAGAAUAAAUGGCUUUGGGUCUAGCACUAGUAAAAGAAGAAAAGCAAAUCCAAAGAACCCACUCAUUGAGUUCAGAGUAGCUACAGGGCAAUGCUGCAUCUUGCUUUUUAGGUGAAAUCUGCAAUUUUGUUUAUCCAGAGCAAUCUGUAACAGCUCUAUGGUAAAGCUGCUUUGAGGUUUAGUUUUGAAGUUUACUGCUCCCAGUUUUCAUUUAUUCCAUCAUAAUACAUGCAUAAAACAUUUUUAUUAUGUGGAUAGUAAUUUGCAUGAGCACGAGGACUUUAGCUCAAAUGCUCAUGAACAAGACUGUUCUUCAGUCGGGUCAACUGGAAGUUAUUCUGCUUUACUACAGGGCUUUCAGUUAAUUAAAUUCAAAGAACCUGUUCAACUGCUAAGGCCUGUUAUACUCCAGAUAAGGAAAAAAAUACAUUUUUUCAUCAGUCUCUGGGGACAGACACUGCUGAUGCUCCUCCUGCUGUAGCCACAAUACAGUGGGCCACAAUACAAGUGAAAAGGAGGAAGAAUGUCCUGCCCAAAGUAUUUCAGUGGGACAUACACGUCUGUGAUGAACACAGAAAGGACUAUUCAGAUGCAUUGUGUUAUAUGGAAUGAACUACAUUUCUGAUCUUCUAAUGCAAUUAAUAUUGUGCUCUGCAAGUAAUGUAAUUAACACAGGAAAAGAGGAGUGAACUGCAUUUACAGUAGAAGUGAACUUUACCUAAAAUUAUCAUUUCAGAAAAUUGACUGUUCUUCUAACUGUUGGUAAUUAUUUUUUCCUUUUUUUUCUUGAGUUCCUCUUUAUUUGGAUAGGUAAUAAAAUUAGUUUUGAUCCUGCACACUGAAGGAGAAACCCUAGUGGCCACAUUCUGACUCUACUUGAACUAGUGUAGGAGCUCAUACGGAAAAUUAAGUGAAAAUCAAUUAACAGUUGCCCCGGGCAUUUGAAACAAAUGCCAGGAAUCCCUAAAUGUUUCUCAGUUCUGUAUAAAUCAUAGCUGACAAGUGGUGGUAUCUCUGCUUCCACUGAAAAUUUGCUUUGUUACAGUGAAAAUUCUUUUAUUAUAUAUAGUUGCUGAUGUACAUAUAUAUAUGUAUUAACCGUCUACAUUUUCUCAUGUGCAUCUUCCAUAAAUCUCCUUUUGAGUCUCUUCCAAAGAAACUAACCUAUGCUUUUGAAGAAAAGAUGACUACCUGGUUGAAGAAAAGGAGUAAUGGAGAACACAUUCUUCAAGAUAUUGGAUAGUAUUCACUGCACCAUCAGGAGAUAUCUUUGUUUGGUACAAAGUGCUAAAGCCUUAAAAGACUAAAGCCGAACAAUAAUGAAUAGAACUGAUUUCCCAUCUUUGGAUUCUAGAGUGCUGACAUGGGAGUUUGAAGACGGUGGAAGGAAUCUAUGGACUGUAUUUACUGAUGUAAUUCAAUAAUUAAAGAUAAUUGUACAAUUUCUCUUAAGCUUGUUGAAAUUCAAGUUUUCUUUUGCUUUAGGCACGACCCAAAAAAUGUAAUAAUAUUUACCAUACUACCUAAUUUAUGUAUGUCUUUAAAUAGUUUACAAAGUGAAUUGAUAAUACAAAAAGUACCCAAAAUCAGAGAGAGAAUUUGUACAGAUUUAUACAAAUCCACGAACUUGAAAAGCCUGCCUUUGUCUCAGAACUUCUAUCUUUGUUUCAAAGAGAGAAACUGGUACAUUACGUAGAUAGGAGAAAAGGAACUGAAGGGUAUAGAUAAAGGAGAAAUGAGCUUAAAGCCUAAGGAAGAGGAAAAAAAUAUAUAAUACAAUCGGAGUGAUCAGAGAUAAAGAACAAGAAAAAAUCAUCAAGAGAUUUUUCUUGAAAGAGGAGGUAGAAUGGAGAUGUAUUUUGUAGGCUACUCUGUUGGAUUAAAGAAGGCCUGAAAUGAAAAGGUAUGUGCAACAAAGGCGUGAGGCAGAUGGAAGGCUUCUCUUCUUAUUUCCUAAGGCUGAGGGCUUCCAGUCCUUUUUGCAUUUGGCUAAUUGCAAAGUCUGCAAUCUCAAAGGGUCACAAUCAUUUUCAGCUUUUGCUGGUGAGAGACACAAAGCAGACAACACUGCACGUUGCUCCUGCUAUAAUAAGAUGUCAUUUCAUCAGGAGGAGUAGACAAAAGGAUAGAUUUUCCUCUUUCCUCUUUUCCUCUGUUUUGCUUUGGGAUAUAACAUUCAGUUUCUCUCUCCAGUUUCCUACAACAUCACAAGGCCAGUUUUUGCUUUGAACUUCAGUAAUAUCAAGUACCUUCCAUGUAAAUGGUGCUUGAGAUAUAAGCGUAUUGCAUGGCCUCUGAGAAACCAAGACCACAUGGAAACUGUUCCCCCCCAAUUUCUGCCAAUAACAUCAGAUUUUGCAUUGCUUCCCCAACAAGAACUGCCCUGUAUCAGAGGCUAGCUUUGUGCAGGGGCUGAUGGUUCUGUAUAGUUUGUGUUUGUGAGCCAUCAAAGGCUUUGAGUGGGAGAGAGGAAACGAUGAAGGAAACCUGGAAUCUGUGCCCAUACUGUUGCAACCUUUCUGAGUUUACUUUAAGAAUCUUUAUCCAGCUCUUCAUCUUUUCACUUUGAUCACUGUAACAUCUCUUCACCUUGGUUUCUAGCUUUUUCCUUUCCCCACACCAUCAAUCUGCACAGAUGCUGCUUUUUCCAGUCAGAGCCUCUUUUGGCAUUUUUGCACUUUACCUCCAUCUUAUUUCUGAACUUCUGUUUCUCUUGUUGUCCCUCGGUGACUGUGUUUUUGCAUGCUGUAGAGAUACUCAAUGCUUUUUUUUUCUGUGCCAUGUCCUCAUUCUAUUCUAUGACCUCUUUUGUGCUGCCUGUACUCCAGGAGUGCUGAGACAAACAGGCUGGGACAGAACACAUCUCUGUGCUCUUCCUGGGAGCACAUUUUAUUCCAGAAAAUUUGUUCUGCUGGUCUCACCUAUAUUUCUUCAAUUGUUUAAUAUUAAGCACUUAUCCAGCAGCGUGAAUUACAAUUAUCAUGAAUUAUACAACAUGGCAGUUUCUGCCCUGCUUUGCUCUCAUUUACAUAACUGCUAGACUGUAAUCACAUUUUGUCUUCCAGACAGAAAUCUUCCAGACUUCUCCCAGGUUUAAUUGGAGGUGCUUUGUAAACCUUUGAUGGUUAAGGACACCAGAUUUUGGAGUGAAAUGCUGGUAUCCCAGAAGCUUGAAAGCACAAAAGAAACAGCUUGUGGAAAAUCUGUGAAGUCCAUCUAUUUCUACAAUAGGAUUAUUCAUCACCACAUGUUUUCCCCAUCUGGAAGUAAAGGGACAAAAUGCUGAAACCACCACCGUCUCACUUGCAAAUUGCUCCACAGUCUAACCAGUCAUGCUAUUGAGAAGAUAUGCCUGCAGUUCAACCCAAAUUGUCUGUAAUCAUGUUGCUUCCUUUCCCUUGUUAUCCUGAGUAGUUCCUCCCCACCCAUAUGUUUAACCUCUCUGAAAUAUUUGUGGAUGGCAAUCAGAUCCCUCUGAGUCACUGCUUAGCUAAGCUGUAUGCAUUUUCAGCAUCCUUCUUUUCUUGUGUAAAUCUUCUCAGAUAUUUAACCAUUUUUCUCCACUUUCCUGUGAAAUCCUCAGCAUUCACUGAAGACGUUAGAAUGAUUACCCCUGGCUGAACAUGGGAACGGAACAUGAGCCUUACACAGAUGGUCCCCUUAGUGGCCUGGGUUCAAGUGCAGUGGGUUGAGGUGCUCAAACACUCCUUUACCACGCUUGGAACUCCUGCUCUAUAAAUCAGGGCUAUACAGUCUGGGGAGUACUGGAACUGUACAGUUGGGGGAAAGUCCCAGCUUUGCUCCACCUGGACUGUGACCACAAUGGAAAAUUUUCUGGUUAAAGUCAAUUAUUUUGCUGCCGAAAGGUAAGGCUUCUACAGCGGCCUGUGUGUGGCUGGGGCUAUGCUACGAACAGUUCUUAGCUACAAAGAGAGGUAAAGUUCUCACUCUGUACAGCCAUGUCCACACUCUUACUAGCUGCAGCAUAGUCCAACUUAAUCACAUGGAGCAGUGCAAACAGUGUGAAGGAAUACCAUCUUCCAGAUUUCAGAGGUAAAACCAAUGCUUAGAUUAUUGGAUUGACCAAGCAUGAUAAUUAGACACACGGAGUUUUCUAAUUUUCCACUUAUUUACCACUGCAAUUUGGAAAAACAGUUGGGAAAUGUGAAACAUUCCAUGGGAUGGGAUGUUUGUAGUAUCUUUCCUCAGAAGAACGUGUGUAACAUGGUGUGUUUUAAUAAAUACUGCAGUCAGGGAACUGACUCUUGGCCAAAGCAGGAGCCUGGGAAGACAGAAAUAUUUGCAGCUGGUCAGUGCUUUCCACCUCUCCCUUCCCACUGAGGCCAGCGACCAAAAAGCCAUCCAUCCUGAGUGCUAAGGCGUGCUGGCCUCCCUGCCUACUUUCUAUCAACAGUUUUGACAGGUCCUCACUGAUUGUUGUUAUGAAAUCAAAUCUAUAUUUACAGCCAGAAAAUGCCUGUCAAAAUAUAUCUUUAACAACCUGAAAUUUAAUUCUUCAGCCGUCUCUAUAGUAGGCAUGUCCAUUACAGGAAAUCUUUCCUUCCUCUUUCCAUUAAAAUAUUUUCAAUUUGGCAUGCCAAAAAAGCUGUAUCUCAAAGAGGAAAAAAAAAAUAGUCUUUAGUAGAGCAAGAAGAUUUACAAAAUCAUUUAUUACCUUUGGUUUCCAAACUAAUCUUAGAAUGAGAGAGAGUAGUGCUAAAAUGCCUAAGCAAAGUGGGGAGAUCAUAGGACCACAUAACCUACUCAGGCUUAAAUAAUAGUAGCAGUAAUAAUAGUAGUAAUAAUAAUAGUAGCAAUAAUAAUAAUAGUAAUAAUAAUAAUAAUGGUAAUAAAAUAGAUGAGCUAAGUGAUUUGAUAUCUGAGCUUAUUAUGUGACAAGUGAUUGAAACUACAUAAGAGGAAAAGGACUGUAUGAAAAAUUAAAACUGGCAACACUGGUAAGACUGUGUGUCAGGAGAAGUAAUUGCAGGAAACUUCUGCAGUGCACAUUAAGACCACCCAGCUCCUCUGUGCUGGCAAGGUAGCAGAAUCUGAUAAGCUACUUGAAGAACACAUUACUGAAAAUCAGCAUGUCUAUUUAAUUGGCCUACAUUUCAUAGAGUUCAUAGCUCUCAUAAGAAGAGCUAAUGUCUCUCGUGUUUCUGCUUUGUUUAUAUCAGGAACUGCAGCCAAGUUCUUGCUUCUAGCUUUGCUUAGAGUUUCUCAUGGAUCUGGGGAGAGUGUCCUGCCAGUGACAGAUUGAGACUGAGUGUAAUUGGGGAUGCAGGAAGGUGAGGGAAAGAGGGCAAUAUCCCAGGGUCAUGGGAUCAAUGCUUGUAAAUGGGAAGAGGGGAAGUCAUAGAAUCAUUGAAUCAUAGAAUCGCUAAGGUUGGAAAAGACCCACAGGAUCAUCCAGUCCAACCAUUCACCCAUCACCAAUGGUUCUCGCUAAACCAUGUCCCUCAACACAACAUCCAAACGCUCUUUGAAUACCACCAGGCUCGGUGACUCCACCACCUCUCUGGGCAGCCCAUUCCAGUGCCUGACCACCCUUUCAGAGAAGUAGUAUUUCCUAACGUCCAGCCUGAACCUUCCCUGGCGCAGCUUGAAGCCAUUCCCUCUAGUGCUACCACUAGUCACCCGAGAGAAGAGGCUGACCCCCAGCUCACCACAACCUCCCUUCAGGUAGUUAUAGAGAGCAAUAAGGUCUCCCCUGAACCUCCUCUUCUCUAGACUGAACAAUCCCAGCUCCUUCAGCCGCUCUUCAUAAGGCCUGUGCUCCAGACCCCUCACCAGCUUUGUUGCCCUCCUCUGGACACGCUCGAGGGCCUCGAUGUCUCUCUUACAGUGAGGGACCCAAAACUGGACACAGUACUCGAGGUGUGGCCUCACCAGUGCUGAGUACAGGGGGAUAAUUACUUCCCUGUUCCUGCUGGCCACACUAUUUUUGAUACAAGCCAGGAUGCCAUUGGCCUUCUUGGCCACCUGGGCACACUGCUGGCUCAUGUUCAGUCUAGCGUCAAUCAACAUCCGUAGGUCCAUUUCCUCUACACAGUCUUCCAGCCACUCUGCCCCAAGCCUGUAGCGUUGCCUGGGGUUAUUGUGGCCAAAGUGCAGGACCCGGCAUUUGUUCUUGUUGAAUCCCAUCCCAUUGGCUUCAGCCCAGCUAUCCAGCCUAUGCCCAGCUAUCCAGCCUAGACAGGCUCCUGUCUAUUUCCUUUAUCAUGAUUCAAUAGAAUGAAUAUUUUUCUUUGGUGGUACAUAAUGAACACUAAAUUAAUGAACUACAUUGUAGCUGCAGCAUUUUAUUUAUUUAUGUACAGGUUAGUUUUCAUAUCUCUUUCCCUAUAUACCUUCCAAUAGAGUCAUAGCAUCAUUUAGGUUGGAUAAGACUCUUAAGAUCAUCAAGUCCAACCACCAACCUAUCACUACUGACUGAACCACUGAACCAUAUCCCUAAGCACCACAUCCAUGUAUCUUACAUACCUCCGGGGAUGAGGAUUCCACCAUUUCCCUGAGCAACCUAUUCUGUGCCUGAAAAAUUAUUCCUGAUUUCCAGCCUAAAUCUCCUUUGGCACAACGUGAAGCUCUCUCUUCACGUCAUCUCACUUGUCACUUGAAAAAACAGGGUAACACCUUACUCCUUUCAUUUAACUGUAGAGAGUGAUGAGGUCUCCCCUCAGCCUCCUUUUCUCCAUACUAAAUAGCUCCAGUUUUCGCAUGCACACCUGGUAACUCUUAUUUUCUUGUUCUUUCACCAGCUCUGUUGCUGUGUUUUGCACAUGUUCAACAAACUCAGCUUCCUUCUUGCGGUGAGGAGUACUCAAGAUGUGGUCUUAUCAGUGUCAAGCAUUGAGGGACAAGCAGAACAAUUCAAAGGCUAUGACUAUCCUUGAGACCUUGUAGCACCUGCACCUACAGAAACUGUCCACAGAGGCCUUACCGGACCAUGUUUUAUUGUCAUUGUUUCUGGGCAAAGGUUUUAUAAUGCAGCAGUGGAGUCCAUCUUGCUGAAGCAAUGGAGACAGAUAGUGAUGGAGCUGCCAGAACAACCUGUAAAUUAUCUGCCCUAAAAUCCUCAAAGAGCACUUUGUGCUGAAAAGAAGGCUGUUCAAGGCAGGAGGGGAAGAAUUUGAUCUUGCCUACAUUUGUUGUACAGGAACAGAAAGGAGGAGUGCUUUAUUCAUCAAGUGAACACAGCACUUUAAAAAUUCAACUAAGUCAAUAUAGGAAUACGUUUAAAAUGUAUUCACCUUCAGAGAGAGAUUUCCUGGACUGACAGAACUGCCAAUGGGUAUGAGUUAUUGCUUAGCAAAAGUUGCUGCAAAGGAUGCUGUACCCAUCACCUCUGUGAAGGGGUCUUAUGUGGAACAAGCUGCUAAGAAAGUUAUGGCCAACAGAAGUUCUGCCUUUGACUGGUGCUUUGGUAACUACCUGUGGGGAUAGUCUGCUGUUAUUCUAUUUUUCUUCCUUCUUUGUCAGAGAAAAUGGCAGUCUGGUGACAGUGUUCUUGAGAAUAGCAACUUCAUUCUACCAGGUUCUGCUGGUAGAGUAGAAGUGGAAAGUCCUGCCUGAGAAUGUGCAUUGUAGAAUCACUGCUCCCAAAGCUGGCAGCUCUGCCAAAACCCAGAACAUGAGUGCUUUGGGGAUGCCCUGGUAGAAACUUAGGUCAGUGCUGGCCUUGGGCCAUCCAGAGUAAGAUGUGAACUGCCUGGACUACGGCAUUACUGGGCAGAAAGAGUGUCUGAUCCCUUCAUGAUUUCAACUUCAGAUUUGCACACCUUAUAUUUACCUCUGAGUACUUUGUAGCACAGUUUGAUAUUUAUGCUUUGACUUUAAUUCAGAAAGAAUCUGGAGAGGAAUAAGAGAGAGGCUAAAAAUGUGCAAGACAAAAAAUACAUGUGUGAUUUCUGAAAUCUGACAGUGUUUAGGAGGGGAAAUAGAAGCUACACUGUUGAUUAUUUUACUUUAUUCUCCCAAUUGAAUGUGAUUUUUUUUGUUUUGUUAUUUUUUAUUUUUCUUUCUAUGCUAUGUAUGGAUGAUACCAGGCCAGUUCCUACCCAAAGGCUUGCUUAAGUGCUUUCAAUCUUACUUGCUUACCUUGCAUCUACAGUAACAAGGAUUCAGUUGUGAGUAAGCCUCAGCAUGUUACUUUAGUUCAAAUGAUUUCUAACUGGAAUAUCAGUGAAUCUUUACCUUCAGGUCAUCCGUGCUCUUUUGUAAGAAUGAAUUUCAGUAGCUUAAAAAUGCUCAGAGUUUGUGAAUGACAAUGAUAACUCACUGCUAUGAAACUUCCUGUAAGUGUGCACCCAUCUCCCUAAAUAAGUAGAAAUGGGUUUCAAAUAACAGGCUCUUCUGUUUAUAAGAGUGGUAAUUAGAAGUGCAUUAAGGAAACCCUCAUUUCAGAAGCAGGCGUAUUAUAUCUAUGAAGUUUCCUGCUUUUUUCCUUUUCUAUAUAUGUUUGAGGCUCCUGAUUGUCUAAUGAGAUUAGGGUAAAUUUGAAAUUAAUUGUAUCUUGUAUAUGUUUUUGAAAUAACAGGCAUAAAGCUACAUUAACUUGUUUCCAUUUGUGAAAGCAGCCUGUUUUCCUUGGUACGUAAGUAACUUCAUGGUUACUAAAGUCUUACUUAUACCCUUUGAAUUGUAUGAGCAAACCUUUCUCUAUUUUAUGUGUUCAUGAAGAUAUUGAAGAAAUAUCAGCAGCUUUGUAUGCAAGUAGAUGAGUGAAGUUGGCAUUUAAACUCUUGAAAAUUACAUAACAGCUACUAGUGUUAAGAAAUUAUAGAUAUGAUGAAGGAAGAGCUGUGAAUUUACAUUUAGAAAUUAACCCAGCUGGGUUUUGUGUGUGAGUGAAAGGUGAAGGAGAGAUAUUUUUAAAAGCUAUUAUUGUGCAUCAGCAAGGUGUGUGUCAUUAACUAAUUAUUUUGAGAAUGCCUUACUAAGACAGUGGUGGUAAUUAGUCUUUAGAUUUGUAGAAGGAAUGUGAUAUUCCUUUUAAUUGGGAAAGUUUUCCUGCCUCUGGGCACGCGCCCUGAAGUGGAGAGGGGGGGAGAGUAGAGGAGAAGGGAAAGUAGGAGGGGAGUGGAGGGAAGAGGUGAGGAAGGAAGGAGACUCAGUGGACUUUAAGAAUUGUCCAUCCUUUUCCAAAAUAGUCAGCAGUGCUACUGAAAAGCCUUCCUUCUGAAUGAUAUUAUCCUAUCCUAACAUUACUUUGAAGUUUUCUACCCCUAGAUGAAUUCUACAUUCAUUAAUGUCAGCAAGCCUUUUUUUUUUUCUGGACUAUUGAGGCCAUCUUUCCUGCAAAUGACCUUAACAGCUGCAAAGAGAAAAGAUAUGAUAACAUUACAUUAAAACACACACUAUGGUAGUUCUCUGAAAAUUUGGAGAUUUUGUUAGGUUUCUGGCUGAGUUUAUGAAUUUACUGUAUGCAAAGCUGCAAUGGAUUUUUCAGUUCCCUCCACUAGUUCCCCCAAGCCUCAGGUUAUGAGAGAAGAGCCAAAAAUGCAGGGCAAUGUUAAUUAUAGGAUAGCCAGAGGCAUUAUGUUCCCUCUUCCAAGCUGUUCUCAACAGUGACUUAUUGCCUCACUUCAGAGAACAAAUUAAGAUGCUCUGCAAUGAUGGAUCCCAAAAACUUGUUUGUCCUGAGAACCAAGGAAGAGAAAAAGGUGUGGCAAUCAGUGAAUGCACCAGAACACGUGAAGCUAGGGGGAUGUGAAAAUAUAAUGCUGAAAUACCCAGUCUAUCUUUCCUUCUCUGCCCUAACCUACAGGAGAAAUAAAAUCAGUUAUAUGUUUUGACUUUCUGUGAAAUAGAGGGAGCAUUAGACCUUCUGCAUUCAAGGGGGGAACCAUGGACAUAAGAAUAGCUGUUUAUCUUCAUUUGUGGUCUUGGAGAUGAAUAAGGAAUGAGUGACGAUGUGUAUUCACUACUGAGUACAUAACACAACUGUUCGAGAGAAGAUGCAGGUUUCCAAAAUCUACCAGCUGCCAUGCACUGGGCUAGUUUGGCAACGUCCAUCUUACCACUCGUGAAAGUAGGCCUUCGCAUAUUUGUGUAAUUCAGCAAAGGAUGUGGUCAAAUUAUUGCCUUUGUCUCUUUUUAUUCUGAAUUACCUCAAGAACUAAGGUCAAAUAAGGAAAAACUAUCCCACAGCAAAAGAGAGAAGAAGCAAAGACAUGCUGGUUAGCUUCUCACUGUCUGCUAAACUGCAUGAAGUCUACUUGAAAUCUCUGAUCUACACUAACAUACCAACUUAAAAAAAAUCCACAAAUGCUAUACCCUGCAACUAGAUAAGUAGGCAGCUGGGUUAAACUUGUAGAUAGUGAGUCAGGCUCCUCAGAUUCUGGGGAAGACUGAAGAUGAGAGGAAGCAGAGUAACUGCUGGCCCUUUGGUAUGGAACACAGGCAAAGUCAGGGGACAACAAUGGCAAAAGUUCCCUGGUCUAUGGGGUAUUUGGGACGUGAAUCCCCUUCCUGAGGGUGAAAGUGGUGCCUGAAAGAGUCAUGUACAGAGGUCAGUGCGUUAGGCUGGUGAGUGUCCAGGAGGAAACACUCCUGGAGGACAGCAAUACAAUAAGUUUAAGAAAAAAAAAAGGCCAGAACAUAAAUUCUUGCCACCCUUUAAAAUUUAACAAUAUUAAGCAUAAUCAUUUGGCAGUUCACUUAAUCUCAGUGGCAAAAAUAACUGGUUAUACGUUAUUAUUGAAGAUUAAAAUCUUAAAUCUUCCAUCAAGGCGGGGAGGGAGCAGGAGGUGCUAGAUAUGACUUUUGUCAUAUCAGGACCCUAAUGAAUUCUGCAAAAAAAGAAUUCUUAUGAAAUAUCCUUUCCAUUCAGCUAUUAUCUUUGGCUGUAGCAAUUACUCAUUUGCUCUAAACUGAAAUCCAACAACAUGAAGCACAGCUAUUCUCUUUCAAACUAAAAUCAGUAUUGGCAGGAUGACUGAAACUAUUUGCUUCCAUUAAAGGCAAAAUAUGUCCUAAGUGGUCACAAGUGUGCCAUAUUCCUCAGCUGUCAGUGCCUAAUUUGAAAUAUUUAAUUUAAAACAUUUUUAAAGCAGGCUGGUUGUCUCUGUUGCUCUGAGCUUACAUCUCCUACAUUCUAUUUCCAAUACCUGCCCCCAGAUCCAUUGGCUGCUUCUGAUGUGCUAAUGCAUUUAGAAAUGUGACUUUCCUCAUCUAUGCUAGACAAAAAGUCUAAUGCAAGAUCAUGUUGGUGAGUUCAUUCUAGAACACCAUCUUCUCUGGCCUUUUGUUAUGGGAGAAGCAACAGGAAGGAAACUGAGCUCCAACUACUGCUCCAGUAUGGUCAGCAAGAUGCACAGGAGGGAAAUUCUGUACCCAGCUUGUGGAAGGUAUGGCAUGCCUCUUUCAGAUCCUCCUCAGAAGGGCAUCUACAUCACAGUAGUGCGGCCAAAGAUGUGGUGGAGAAGCCAUGAGAGAGGAGUCCCAGAGAGAACCUCAUAAUCCAUAGAAUCAUAGAAUCAUUAACAUUGGAAAAGACCUCUACAGUAAUCUAGUCCAACCACCAAUCUGUCCCCACCAUGCCCACUAACCACCUCCCUAAGUGCCACAUCUACACCUUUUAUUAACACCUCCAGGGACUCCACCACUUCCCCAGGCAGCCUGUUCCAAUGCAUUAACACUCUUUUGGAGAAUAAUUUUUUCCUAAUAUUGAACCUGAACUUCCCCUGGCACAACUUAAAGCCAUUACUUCUUGUCCUAUCACUAACUACAUGGGAGAAGAGGCCAACCCCCAUCUUGCCACAGACUCCUUUCAGGCAGUUGUAGAGGGCAAUAAGGUCUCCCCUGAGCCUCCUCUUCUCCAGACCAAACAAUUCCAUUUCCCUCAGCUCACCCCAAGACCUGUGCUUCAGAUCCUGGAUUAAUCUUCUGUGCACUUGAAUAAAAAUGUAGUUUCUACUGAAAGACAAAACUUUUCAUGCAAAGAGAGGACAAUUCUGUUUAAAAACAACAGUAAGUACAUCAGAGACAUUGUAUUCAUCCUACAUUCUGAAAAAAAAAAUGCCAAUAAUAAAGCUCUAUCUAGAGAACUGUGGAAGGAAAAAAUUUUUUGAUAUCUUUUUUUUCUAAACAAUUAAAGCUGAAGCAUUCAGCAUUUUGGAUCCAGUGUAAAUCCUCACAUUCCUGGGCAAUAUAUAUACAUAUUUUCUGUCAGCAAAUCCUUAGUUUCCACAUUAGUUAAUGUUCCACCUGCUGUAUAAACCCAGAGAAGCUGUCUCUUGCAACUGUAGUGUUCCCUUCUGGCAGUCCUUUUUUCUUCCUUUUUCUUCUGUCAAAUAUGCAGAAAAUACCUUUGAAAAUGUACACAGUGUUCACAAUAAAUGGAAAUAACACAGAUGCACGCGUGUACAUUUAUGGAAGUGUAAUAAUUCUGAGAACAGUACAGAGAGCUCAGUUAACAGACUACAGUAAACGAUGCCAGGUUACCUAAACCUCAUAGUCCCAAAAGGAAGGAUUUUAGACAGCUUGCUGAUGUUCACAGUGUCAUGACGUAUGUCAGCACCAAGCCCACGUAACGGGUUUAAAUGAUCUAUUGACCUCCAACGGAUAUUAUGAACAUGGGUAUCAUCCUUCAUUGUUAAUAAAAAGGGAACCAACUGAGACAUUUUGAUUCUUGUUUGUCCUGCUUCACCGUUAUUCAGACCCUUCCAUAUUGGAAAAGCAUGAAGAGACAGCAAGCAGUUUCAAUUCAGUGUUUCUGAACUGGGGAUCCAUUGUGAUAGGAAAGAUUUCAAGUUAAAGUGAGAUGAAAGAUGUGGCCCAAAUGAGCAAAAGUGGUUGGUGGCAGGAAAUUCGCUGAUGCUAAUUUAUACUGCUUAGAAUAUUUUCUCCAAACUGCUAGGUGGGAGGGUAGCUAGUUGAUCCCUCCAGAAAGCCCAGGAAAAGCCCAUGCUGUUUCCAUAGCCUCUCUGUGAAGCCUGCUCCAGAGUUCUGCCAACCUCAAAGUAAAGAUUUUUCUCAUGUUCUUAUGGAACUUUCUAUGCUCCAGUCUGUGCCUGUUGCCCUUUGUCCUGUCACUGGGUACCACUGAAAAGAGCCUGGCUCUUUAACUCCCGCCCUUUAGAUAUUUAUAAGAGUUCUAAGAUUUCCUCUCACUCUUCUCCAGGCUGAACAACCUCUGGUCUUUUAGUCUUUCCUUAUAAAGGAGAUUCUCCAUGCCCGUAGCCACCUUUUAGGCUUUCCUCUGGACUUUUUCCAGUAGUUCCUCAUCUUUCUUGAACUGAGGAGCCCAGAACUGGACACAGUACUCCAAGUGAGGCCUCACCAGGGCAGAGCAGAGGGGGAGGAUCACCUCCCUAGAUCUGCUGGCUAUGCUCUUUCUAAUGCACCCCAAGAUACUGUUGGUCUUGUUGGCCAUAAGGGCACACUGCUGGCUCAUGACCAUCCUGCUGUCCACCAGAACACCCAGGUCCUUCUCCACAGAGCUCCUCUCCAGCAAGUCAGCCCCUAACCUGUACUGAUGCAUAUGGUUCUUCUUUCACAGGUGGAGGACUCUGCCCUUGCCCUUGUUGAACUUCAUCAGGUUUCUCUCCUCCCAGCUCUCCAGUCUGUCCAGAUCUUGCAGAAGGGCAGAGCAUCCUUCUGGUGUGUCAGCCAUUCCUCCCAGCUUUGUAUCAGUUUCACACUGAUAAAAGGGUCAAUGUACACUGGCUAUUCUUAGCCACUUUUUUCAUAAUUUGCAUUUAAAAAGCUAUCACAUGUCUUUUAAUUCCCUUGUUAUACACCUGUAAAUUCUCACUGUAUGUUUUGCUGAUAUUUAUCACCAAUGAAAGUUCAUUCACCACAGAUCCCUCAUUUAGGAAAGGAAUAUAUGGGGGUAUUGUCUGAGCUCUAUCUUUCUUA
Molecule: long non-coding RNA, 15132 nt
Filed under: Gallus gallus (chicken)
Lineage: Eukaryota; Metazoa; Chordata; Aves; Galliformes; Phasianidae
Description: lncRNA (ENSGALG00010013865.1)
Source: RNAcentral